UUGGCAUUGCUGUGGCUGUGCUGUGGCUGUAGCUCCAAUUCAACCUCUAGCCUGGGAACUUCCAUGUGCUGUGAGUGUGGCCCUAAAAAAGACGCCCCCCCCACCCCCAGAAAAAGAGAAAUGGGAGGAAGGGAGGAAGGAAGGAGGAAAGAAAGGGAGAGAAGAGAAGAAGGGGAGGAAAGAGAAGGAAUGAAUGAAUGAUGGAAGGAAGGAGCCUUUUUAACUUUCCGCCACCCUGAGAUUUCCAUCUCCAACUUGCAGGGACUUGCUUGAGGAAACUACCAGGUGACUUGAGUCAAGAGGCUUUAAAGACAUUUGGCGUAUUUCUAACAGUGUCAUGUUGGAGAAGGUUCUUUAGAAGGUUCUCCAGCCCAUUUGGGAAACUCCACGUAGCCCAUCAACCUCCCGCCAUCAAUCACACCAACUAUAAAUUUCAUCCUGGGAAGGAAAUGUGCCUUGAGGGUUGCAUUCAUCUUCUAUGCCAGGUGCACGGGGAGAGCAGAGGAAGGGAAGGAAUCCAGGCCUUUUCACCCUCUGGGCUGCUGGUCCCUGGUGCCCUGAGCCCUGGAGGGCCGGGCUGGAAGCCAAGGAACAAAUUGGUGCUGCCCAGCUAGGGUACCACUGAGUUGAGUCACCCUGACCAGCAGGUCCACCGGCUCUUGGCAUGCAAGUCCAGCAAAACAGGACUCAGCACUUGCUGGGCUCUCCCUGAAGUGCAAUGAGUUUGGCUGGAACAUGAGUGGUUCAAGUUCUGACAUUUUGUUCAUCAUGGUAUUUUUGCAAUUGAUUCUGAUUUGGGGAGAAAGAUUGCAUUAAAUGUUUGUUUGUUU
This 830-nucleotide long non-coding RNA is filed under the name Sus scrofa (pig). RNAcentral's name for it is "lncRNA (ENSSSCG00035025169.1)". The record is from RNAcentral. Lineage: Eukaryota; Metazoa; Chordata; Mammalia; Artiodactyla; Suidae.